RNAcentral lists this long non-coding RNA (423 nucleotides) under Monodelphis domestica (gray short-tailed opossum). RNAcentral describes it as "lncRNA (ENSMODG00000051151.1)". Lineage: Eukaryota; Metazoa; Chordata; Mammalia; Didelphimorphia; Didelphidae. The record is from RNAcentral.
AGAGGUAGGUGCUAUUAUCUACUCUAUUUUACAGAUAAAGAAACUGAGAUACUGAGAGAUUAAGUGAUUUCCCCAGGGUCACACAGCUGUUAAGUGUCUGAGACCAAUUUAUCAGAAUAUCUCUGAUGAAAGACUUUUGGAGAAUGACAACAAAAAGCUUCAGAAAGAGGACUUGGGUUGAAGCCCUGAUCUACAUACAUAGUUGUCUGUCCAUUAAGGGAAAGUGUCCUUACAAAAAGAUAUCAACAGUGUGGAAUGACAGAGACCAAGGAGGACACCUGAAACUCUUAACCUGCCAGACAAGAUUUCAUUCAUGACUGUACCCAGUGUACAGAAUCAAAUUAGCACAGAAACCUAUGGUUUGAAAAACCCAAAGAACACCGUUUUUGAGGUAAGAACUCAUAUUUCAUAAAGCUCUGGGGA